This 253-nucleotide ribosomal RNA is filed under the name uncultured bacterium. RNAcentral's name for it is "partial 16S ribosomal RNA". It matches the Rfam family "Bacterial small subunit ribosomal RNA", at positions 524 to 776 of the family's 1533-position model. The record is from RNAcentral.
AACGUAGGAGACAAACGUUAUCCGGAGUUACUGGGCGUAAAGGGCGUGUAGGUGGUUCUGUAAGUCUGGCGUGAAAUUUCUCGGCUUAACCGAGGCAGGUCGUCGGAUACUGCAGGGCUAGAGGACGGUAGAGGCGUGUGGAAUUCCGGGUGUAGUGGUGAAAUGCGUAGAGAUCCGGAGGAACACCAGUGGCGAAGGCGACACGCUGGGCCGUACCUGACACUGAUGCGCGAAAGCAUGGGGAGCAAACAGG